UACGUAGGGUGCGAGCGUUGUCCGGAAUUAUUGGGCGUAAAGAGCUCGUAGGCGGUCUGUCGCGUCGGAUGUGAAAACUCGGGGCUCAACCCCGAGCCUGCAUUCGAUACGGGCAGACUAGAGUUCGGUAGGGGAGACUGGAAUUCCUGGUGUAGCGGUGAAAUGCGCAGAUAUCAGGAAGAACACCCGUGGCGAAGGCGGCUCUCUGGGACGGUACUGACGCUGAGACGCGAAAGCGUGGGGAGCAAACAGG
This 253-nucleotide ribosomal RNA is filed under the name uncultured bacterium. RNAcentral's name for it is "partial 16S ribosomal RNA". It matches the Rfam family "Bacterial small subunit ribosomal RNA", at positions 524 to 776 of the family's 1533-position model. The record is from RNAcentral.